UAUUUAUAAUUCAUAAGCGGAGGAAAAGAAACCACCAGGGAUUGCCCUAGUAACGGCGAGUGAAGCGGCAACAGCUCAAAUUUGAAAUCUGGCUUCGGCCCGAGUUGUAAUUUGCAGAGGAAGCUUUAGGCGCGGCACCUUCUGAGUCCCCUGGAACGGGGCGCCAUAGAGGGUGAGAGCCCCGUAUAGUUGGAUGCCUAGCCUGUGUAAAGCUCCUUCGACGAGUCGAGUAGUUUGGGAAUGCUGCUCAAAAUGGGAGGUAAAUUUCUUCUAAAGCUAAAUACCGGCCAGAGACCGAUAGCGCACAAGUAGAGUGAUCGAAAGAUGAAAAGCACUUUGAAAAGAGGGUUAAAUAGCACGUGAAAUUGUUGAAAGGGAAGCGCUUGUGACCAGACUUGCGCCGGGCGGAUCAUCCGGUGUUCUCACCGGUGCACUCCGCCCGGCUCAGGCCAGCAUCGGUUCUCGCGGGGGGAUAAAGGUCCUGGGAACGUAGCUCCUCCGGGAGUGUUAUAGCCCGGGGCGUAAUGCCCUCGCGGGGACCGAGGUUCGCGCAUCUGCAAGGAUGCUGGCGUAAUGGUCAUCAGCGACCCGUCUUGAAACACGGACCAAGGAGUCAAGGUUUUGCGCGAGUGUUUGGGUGUAAAACCCGCACGCGUAAUGAAAGUGAACGUAGGUGAGAGCUUCGGCGCAUCAUCGACCGAUCCUGAUGUUUUCGGAUGGAUUUGAGUAGGAGCGUUAAGCCUUGGACCCGAAAGAUGGUGAACUAUGCUUGGAUAGGGUGAAGCCAGAGGAAACUCUGGUGGAGGCUCGCAGCGGUUCUGACGUGCAAAUCGAUCGUCAAAUCUGAGCAUGGGGGCGAAAGACUAAUCGAACCAUCUAGUAGCUGGUACCGCAGAUUUUUCCUC
RNAcentral lists this ribosomal RNA (905 nucleotides) under Chaetomium sp. RNAcentral describes it as "partial large subunit ribosomal RNA". It matches the Rfam family "Eukaryotic large subunit ribosomal RNA", at positions 35 to 974 of the family's 3401-position model. The record is from RNAcentral. Lineage: Eukaryota; Fungi; Ascomycota; Sordariomycetes; Sordariales; Chaetomiaceae.